This 1133-nucleotide long non-coding RNA is filed under the name Phascolarctos cinereus (koala). Its description in RNAcentral is "lncRNA (ENSPCIG00000017826.2)". The record is from RNAcentral. Lineage: Eukaryota; Metazoa; Chordata; Mammalia; Diprotodontia; Phascolarctidae.
CCCUCAUCCUUGUUUUCCAAUUCAUUCUUUAUGAUCUUGAGUUUUGGAGGCCUGGCAGUUCCAUCAGUAACCUUUUUUAGGUCAAGGAGUGUCCUUAUGUCCCACUGGAAUUUCUGUCUCAUGAUUCAACUUCAGCCCUCUUCUUCUUCUUCUUCUUCUUCUUCUUCUUCUUCUUCUUCUUCUUUAGAGCUUUCACAGGCAACUCAUUGUACUCCCCAGCUCCCUACCCCACCCCUCCGGCACUAUUUGAUGAUUAGACAUGAAUGUGACAUAUGUUCCAUUUCUCCCAGGAGAUCUAACUCUGUAUCUCAUUCUAGAUCAUUUGAUCCUACUGUCCGGUUCAAAAAUUCCACUGCAUUGGACCCCUUAAAAAUGUGCCUCGAAGAGGCACUGAGGUGUCCAUACCAUUUUUCUGCCCAGUAUCUGCUGAAGCAUUCUGCCCACCAGAUCUGUUUUAUCCCACCCUCCCUGAUUCUCCUGCCUUCCCAGCUACUCCCAGAUAGAACUUUGACCAGCCUUUACUGCAACACCCCUCCUUGGUUCCUCCUUCUUUGGUGUCUUUCUGUCUCCUACAUAUCUGCUUAUGACUACAUCUUCAUUUGCAGGAGGGCUGAGUCCCUCCCCCAGGGGCUUGUAGGUCAGCUGAGGCAGUGCAGAGGUGAGCCCCAUGGUCCCCUUCUAGGGCCCUGGCCAUUGUGGUUGGCUGUCAAUCCUUGGUGUCCCACUGUCCUUGAGUGGAAGCCUGGUCAAGUGGAAGCCUGGUCAAGUGGUUAUAGGGCUGACCUUGAAAACAGGAACACCUGGGUUCAUUUCCUGUCUGUGGCACAUGCUGGCUGUGUGACCAUGCGUAAGUCACUUAACCUCAGUGUCUCCAGGCAACUCUCUGAGAUGAUCUCCAUCACAGGAAGAAAUUUCCACAGGGGAGUUUGUCACACCUAUGAAGUCAGAAAAUGUGCCUUAAUUUCCAAAUUCAUAUUCCCCUAGUAGUAAGCUUUAUCUUCAUUAUUAUUUUGACUAGGGAGCCUGAUUCACCCUCCUGUACCUUGGAGUUCACCUAAAGCCAAAAAAGACAGACCUCUUGGGACUGAUGCAGGGAUAAAAGAAACCUUCCAUCAUGGAAGGUUUUCUUUCUC